RNAcentral lists this ribosomal RNA (164 nucleotides) under uncultured bacterium. RNAcentral describes it as "partial 16S rRNA". It matches the Rfam family "Bacterial small subunit ribosomal RNA", at positions 355 to 511 of the family's 1533-position model. The record is from RNAcentral.
UAGGGAAUCUUCCACAAUGGGCGAAAGCCUGAUGGAGCAACGCUGCGUGUGUGAUGAAGGGUUUCGGCUCGUAAAACACUGUUGUAAGAGAAGAAUGACAUUGAGAGUAACUGUUCAAUGUGUGACGGUAUCUUACCAGAAAGGAACGGCUAAAUACGUGCCAC